GUGGGCGUCUUCUAAUGGUUAGGAAACCUCGUUGUGGAUUCUGCAAUCCCGUGGAAAUGUCGGUUCGAUUCCGGCCGCCCACA
Molecule: non-coding RNA, 83 nt
Organism: Melampsora americana
Lineage: Eukaryota; Fungi; Basidiomycota; Pucciniomycetes; Pucciniales; Melampsoraceae
Source: the annotation of a GenBank genome assembly